UGUCUGUCAUAUGCAAAUAUCAUUUGAUAUUUGGGCUCUUCAUUCUGCAUAGAGCAAUGCAGCCCAAGAAGUAAGUAGUGCUUUGUGUGGUGUUGGCCAGUCUGCUCUCACUGACUGUGAAUUUUGCUGUGAUCAAGAACAGCAGCUGAGAGCUCCAGACCAAGUUUCCCACCCACCUUUCCCCAGGGAUAAAGUUUCACUCUUCUCUACCUUACAUUCCUCAAAUCUGUAGCCCAGGAUAAAGUCUCAGGUGGAAUCAAACCAUCUUUCUCCUUUGUUGUGCUCACAGCUGAUCUGGGCGGAUGGUUCAGAAUCAUGAGUGCAGGAAACAGUCCUUCAUCCUCCCUAGAGGUGAAAGUGCUGCCAUAUCUCAUCUGUGACUCUUAUUCCCUCUCCUCAGUUCUUUCUCAUCCUGGCAGCUGCCACAAGACUUUUGUGGAAUAACAUCUACAUAAAAUUCCUACCAGAGCAGAGCAUUUUCCCAUUGUCUGGCAGCAACAAUGAAGGGGCUAUAGCCCACAGGAGAGACACUUUACCAGAUGCUGGUGGCCACAGGAUCCUUUCCCUCCAUGGUGCAAGUAUCACUUUUCUUCUUAAAAAGUUAUUAACAUUACAGUACCUUUGCAACUAUUGUAUUGCAAACUACUACUGUACUAGUACUGAUAAUGCUACUAUCACUAUGGUUGCUUCCUAAUAACAGAAACAUAUCAUGGGUUGCUCCAACCACACAGCUUGCAUUUCCCAUUGCCUCUUUCCUCGUUAUUCCUUAUUACUUUUAAGCUUUGCUCUCUUCUUUCUUAGAGAUCUAGCAGGAUAUUUUGCUGGAGUGACAAGGCCCUUUCAAAAGCACACACCGCCUCAUGGCUUUAGGAUACUGGAAUAUGAAUAUAUGGUAUGCCAAUGUGUAGUGAUUUCCUACCCAAACAUAAACCAAGAAAAAAUGGCUUCUUGGACUGGACCCAAAGACUGAAUCUGUGCAGGCAGAAUGGGCGGAAAGGACAAAGUGUACAGCUCUCUUCAAACCAUGAUAUUAUGGACAUAAUGGAUGGCAGACAUCAGCACCCUCUCCCUAUAAUUAAGCCUGAGAAUAGACAGCCCAUGAAUCCUUAUAAUAAAUUAAGUAGGAGAGGAAGCCCAGAAUUUCUUGGCUGCCUCUUAUCAGUCAGAUGGCAAGGUAGGUGAGUGAUGGGAUCUAGCCAUAUCCCUUAUCUAGGCAAAUAUACUGCAAAGUAUUUUCAACAGCAGAUUUCCCCCUUGGAUGUACAGUAGUGCUCAGUAGUGCCCCCAGAAAGAGCAGCUGGAUCACCAGAAGAUCAGUGCAGAUGGUGCUCCAGGAACCAAAUAACAAAGUUUGGCAGCAAAAUGAGACUUGAGCGUAGCUUCAUGAAUAAUUAAACCCACCCCUAAACAGUAGUUUAUAUCUAGACUUAGCAGCUGUGACCUUAUUUUGGUUAUGCUUUCCCACCGUAGAAUCAUUAAGGUUGAAAAAGGCCACUAAGAUCAUCAGAUCCAACUGUCAGUGCAUCACCACCAUUCCAACUAAGUCUUGUCCUUCAGUGCCACAAAAUGGUCCUGUUCCACUGACCAGAAAUAUGGACUAGGGAGAUUCCUAUUACGUUAGAGAAGGGAGAAAUGACAGCUGAGAAAUUCUCAGCAUCUAGAGAAUCAGCUCUGGCCUUCUUCCUCCUCCUCUUCCUCCUUUUCUGUUACAAGCAUUUGCUAGGAAAGAUGGGGAAGAGCUCUUUAAAGGGCACUGAGGACAGCUGCAUAUACAAUUAGGACCAUAUAGAAAUGAAUGUUCAGUUGACUAUUAUCAGAUCUGCUCUCUCAGGUUUGAUUAUGUGUUCAGACACUUCAGCAGGUGCACUCAGGUUAGUUUGUUGAAAACUUCUUUUCAUAGCCAAGAAUAUGGACUGGAAUUUCCUACUGAAUCUUUCCCUUCAACACAACAGAGAGAAGAUGAGAUUCUCUUCCAGUCUCAGGAUUGCAGCAGCUGCAGCUAUGUGUGCAGGGCUACCACCUACUCCUCCUUUAACCUGGUCCAAUAGGGAUAUGUACAUUAAAGAUUCAUUUUCGAUACAAAUAUUCUCCUCCAUCUGUUUCUAUAUAAUUAAUGCAGGCAAAAAAAGGCCUGGUCAGUUUUUUAAUUUUUUUUCCUGAAAAUUACAUAGCAUUUUCCAGU
Long non-coding RNA from Numida meleagris (helmeted guineafowl), 2182 nucleotides. Lineage: Eukaryota; Metazoa; Chordata; Aves; Galliformes; Numididae. The record is from Ensembl.